UUUUGAGUGUUAAAGUUUUGUGCUUGAGUAGUAUUAGUUAUGUUCUUGAAACUUAAAGAAUUUGGCGGUAUCUUACUCCAUUCAGAGGAAUCUGUCUCGUUAUCGAUAGUCCGCGUUGGACCUUACUUGAGUUUAUUGUUUGUAUACCGCCGUUUAUUGAUUAUCCUUUUAGGGGCUUAAUUUUCUUGUUUCUUUAUUUUGAUUUAUUUCAGGUCAAGGUGCAGCUUUUUCUAAGUGGUAUGAUGGAUUACAGUGUUAUUUGUUGUUUGGAUUAUGUAUUUUAAUAUGUGUAUGAAAUUGGAUUUGGUUGUAAUGUUUUGUAGAUUGUUUUCGUGAUAAUUGGUUCUGGGAUAUGU
This 356-nucleotide ribosomal RNA is filed under the name Macrotermes annandalei. RNAcentral describes it as "partial 12S ribosomal RNA". Lineage: Eukaryota; Metazoa; Arthropoda; Insecta; Blattodea; Termitidae. The record is from RNAcentral.